RNAcentral lists this ribosomal RNA (372 nucleotides) under uncultured organism. Its description in RNAcentral is "bacterial SSU rRNA". It matches the Rfam family "Bacterial small subunit ribosomal RNA", at positions 526 to 896 of the family's 1533-position model. The record is from RNAcentral.
CGAAGGGUGCAAGCGUUACUCGGAAUUACUGGGCGUAAAGCGUGCGUAGGUGGUGAGUUAAGUCUGUCGUGAAAGCCCCGGGCUCAACCUGGGAAUGGCGAUGGAUACUGGCUCGCUAGAGUGCGGUAGAGGAGAGUGGAAUUCCCGGUGCAGCAGUGAAAUGCGUAGAGAUCGGGAGGAACAUCAGUUGCGAAGGCGGCUCUCUGGACCAGCACUGACACUGAGGCACGAAAGCGUGGGGAGCAAACAGGAUUAGAUACCCUGGUAGUCCACGCCCUAAACGAUGCGAACUGGACGUUGGGAGCAAUCAGGCUCUCAGUGUCGAAGCUAACGCGUUAAGUUCGCCGCCUGGGGAGUACGGUCGCAAGACUG